GAUGAACGCUGGCGGCGUGCCUAAUACAUGCAAGUCGAGCGAACAGACGAGGAGCUUGCUCCUCUUACGUUAGCGGCGGACGGGUGAGUAACACGUGGAUAACCUACCUAUAAGACUGGGAUAACUUCGGGAAACCGGAGCUAAUACCGGAUAAUAUAUUGAACCGCAUGGUUCAAUAGUGAAAGACGGUUUUGCUGUCACUUAUAGAUGGAUCCGCGCCGCAUUAGCUAGUUGGUAAGGUAACGGCUUACCAAGGCAACGAUGAGUAGCCGACCUGAGAGGGUGAUCGGCCACACUGGAACUGAGACACGGUCCAGACUCCUACGGGAGGCAGCAGUAGGGAAUCUUCCGCAAUGGGCGAAAGCCUGACGGAGCAACGCCGCGUGAGUGAUGAAGGUCUUCGGAUCGUAAAGCUCUGUUAUUAGGGAAGAACAAAUGUGUAAGUAACUAUGCACGUCUUGACGGUACCUAAUCAGAAAGCCACGGCUAACUACGUG
This 497-nucleotide ribosomal RNA is filed under the name uncultured bacterium. RNAcentral's name for it is "partial 16S ribosomal RNA". It matches the Rfam family "Bacterial small subunit ribosomal RNA", at positions 28 to 507 of the family's 1533-position model. The record is from RNAcentral.